GGUCAGAUCAGCCUUUUAUUUAAAGUCGGAGGAAGGAGUCCAGGGGCAGAAUAGAAACAAAAGAAAAAGAGGCGACAGAUAGGUGUCCGCCUCAGGAUCCCAGACACUCAGCGGUAAGGCCAGCCGGAUGGGGGAGGGGUCCCUCCUGGCCUGGAGAAUUAUGCAACUUUCUUGAAGCAAGCUAGUGACAUGCCCUGCCAUACUCUCCUGAUGCUGGGCCUGGGCCACAGCAGCCACAGCUCCCAGUCAGCCCUGCCAUCAGAAAGUGGAUUCAUGAGGACCUCAUCCUACCUAAAUCGGGAAAGAUCUGUAAAACACUUAGAACAGCACCCAGCCCAUCCACAUACCUCUCCGUUAAAUAAAAUAGAAUUGUAUUAAGUGCAAGUAUUGCUCCUCACUAUUUUUAUAAGGGUGAAAUAAAGUCAAAAUCUGGAGUUACUUUGAAGGAGAAAAGUUUACAGGAAAGACAAGACCACCCCAUAGUUUUGCCUUGGAAAAGGCCAGGGAGUAUUUCGGGGCCACUCCCUGAAUGGCUACUCCCUGUCAUGCCCACAA
Molecule: long non-coding RNA, 555 nt
Organism: Zalophus californianus (California sea lion)
Lineage: Eukaryota; Metazoa; Chordata; Mammalia; Carnivora; Otariidae
Exons: 3
Source: RefSeq, a predicted model, not a curated record